UAAGUGUUAAAGGGUUAACUACAGAGGUGUCCUUCGGGGCUCCCAAGUGAAGCCUUUGCCGACCACAGCUGAAGAACAAGGCAGCAUGAUCAACAGGAAAGUCAGAGUCUAUUUAUCUCUGGCACAGCCUGCCCAUUUCUAGUCUGGAUGGAAAAGAAGACUAAAGUCCACGGAGCUCUUCGGCAAACAACAACCAGCAUAACAACAAAUGCAGCAGAAGAGAAUGCCAAGGUUGUCAUCCCCCAUCAGCGGUUUGGAUGGAUUUCACCCUGGGAGAAGCUUUCGGGACGCUCGGGGCGGAAUCUUGCGCAGGAAACAGGUGGUUUGCUUUACUGAGAGGCAUGUGUAAUGGCCAGGGAGCUGCGCCGCGCCACGCCAAGCUACAGCAGAUGGGCUGCAGCUCGCUCCGCUCCGCUGAAGGAUAUUUUUCAUGUUAUGUGUGGAAAAGAGCAGUAACCCUUGUUUGUUAUAUGAGGCCUUGUAGGACUUUGUUUGGAAAGAAGCCAUUUGCAAGAUAAAAAAAAAAGCCAUUAAAAAUAUGAGUCACCAUAAUCACAUUCAAAGUGCUCCAGUAUGGCCUUUUAUUUGCAAAGACUUCACUGUAAAAUCAGCUUUUUUUUAUUAUUAUUUAUUUUCAAAUGAAGAAUUUCGCCACAGGUUACCUUGGGUUGAUUGAUGUGACUUUACUGAAAUGACUAAAAAAAAAGCUCAACAAAACCCCAAACAACUCAAAACACAUAAUUCAAACUGCUCAUAGUGCAAAAGUGCUGUGCCUUCUCUGUGCUGUAUCACUGGACUAACAUUUGUAAAUAUAUCCCAACAUUAUCUCAAAUACAAAUGCAUUUCUUUGCCAUACCAAAAUCUGAUACCCCAUUUUGAGUCAUCAGGUGCUCACAUCCUCCCAGAGGAGAGAUGACUUAGCUGCUGCUUUCAAAAUGCAUCCUCCCUGUGAGACUAUGAGCAGUGAGAGGCAGAGGGAGCAGGAACCUUUUUGCUACAUAUCACAAAUUAAAGCACUCAUUCUCUCUGGUGAGCUGUCAUCAAUCUUGAGGCAAGAGCAAUCUUUUGGGCAGGCUUUCUCCACAUAGAGAGCCUUCCUUGCAGCCCAGAAAGCCAACCGUAUCCUGGGCUGCAUCAAAAGAAGCCAGCAGGGUGAGCAAGGUGAUGCUGCCCCUCUUCUGCACUGGUGAGACAUCACCUGGAGUACUGCAUCACGAUGUGGAGUCCUCAGUACAGGAAAGAUGUGGACCCGUUGGAGUGUGUCAGUGUGUCCAGGGGAGGGCCACAAAAAUGAUCCAAGGGAGUAAACACGUUCCCCAUUAGGACAGGCUGAGAGAGCUGGGGCUGUUCAGCCUCAAGAAGGAUCUGGGUAGACCUGAUAGCAGCCUUUCAGUACCUGAAGGGAGGCUGUAAGAAAGAAG
Molecule: long non-coding RNA, 1421 nt
Filed under: Gallus gallus (chicken)
Lineage: Eukaryota; Metazoa; Chordata; Aves; Galliformes; Phasianidae
Source: RNAcentral